UACAGAGGUGGCAAGCGUUGUUCGGAAUUACUGGGCGUAAAGGGCGCGUAGGCGGUCUUUUAAGUUCCGUGUGAAAUCCCUCGGCUCAACUGGGGAACUGCACGGAAAACUGGCAGGCUUGAGUUCGGGAGAGGGAAGCGGAAUUUCGGGUGUAGCGGUGAAAUGCGCAGAUAUCCGAAGGAACACCGGUGGCGAAGGCGGCUUCCUGGACCGACACUGACGCUGAGGCGCGAAAGCUAGGGGAGCAAACGGG
This 253-nucleotide ribosomal RNA is filed under the name uncultured bacterium. RNAcentral describes it as "partial 16S ribosomal RNA". It matches the Rfam family "Bacterial small subunit ribosomal RNA", at positions 524 to 776 of the family's 1533-position model. The record is from RNAcentral.